AACUCAUGGUGAGGGCAGCAUCUCAAUAAGUCCUUGUAGCUCUCCCAUGCAUCAUAUAGUGUCUUUAAAUUGAUUUGAACAAAAGAAGAGAUAUCAUUCCUCAACUU
Molecule: non-coding RNA, 107 nt
Organism: Gossypium raimondii (Peruvian cotton)
Lineage: Eukaryota; Viridiplantae; Streptophyta; Magnoliopsida; Malvales; Malvaceae
Source: Rfam